GAUGAACGCUGGCGGCGUGCCUAAUACAUGCAAGUCGAGCGAACAGACGAGGAGCUUGCUCCUCUGACGUUAGCGGCGGACGGGUGAGUAACACGUGGAUAACCUACCUAUAAGACUGGGAUAACUUCGGGAAACCGGAGCUAAUACCGGAUAACAUGUUGAACCGCAUGGUUCAACAGUGAAAGACGGUCUUGCUGUCACUUAUAGAUGGAUCCGCGCCGCAUUAGCUAGUUGGGAAGGUAACGGCUUACCAAGGCAACGAUGCGUAGCCGACCUGAGAGGGUGAUCGGCCACACGGGAACGGAGACACGGACAAGGCGCCUAAGGGAGGCAGCAGAAGGGAAUCUGCCGCAAUGGGCGAAAGCCUGACGGAGCAGCGCGGAGUGAGUGAAGAAGGUCUUCGGAGCGUAAAACUCGGUUAUUAGGGAAGAACAAAUGUGUAAGUAACUAUGCACGUCUUGACGGUACCUAAUCAGAAAGCCACGGCUAACUACGUG
This 497-nucleotide ribosomal RNA is filed under the name uncultured bacterium. Its description in RNAcentral is "partial 16S ribosomal RNA". It matches the Rfam family "Bacterial small subunit ribosomal RNA", at positions 28 to 507 of the family's 1533-position model. The record is from RNAcentral.